GCUCAGAUUGAACGCUGGCGGCAUGCUUUACACAUGCAAGUCGAACGGCAGCGAGGAGAAGCUUGCUUCUCUGUCGGCGAGUGGCGAACGGGUGAGUAUAGCAUCGGAACGUGCCAAGUAGUGGGGGAUAACCAAACGAAAGUUUGGCUAAUACCGCGUAAGCUCCAAGGAGGAAAGUAGGGGACCUAAAUAAGGCCUUACGCUAUUUGAUCGGCCGAUGUCGGAUUAGUUAGUUGGUGGGGUAAUGGCUCACCAAGGCAAUGAUCCGUAGCGGGUCUGAGAGGACGAUCCGCCACACUGGGACUGAGACACGGCCCAGACUCCUACGGGAGGCAGCAGUGGGGAAUUUUGGACAAUGGGGGAAACCCUGAUCCAGCCAUGCCGCGUGUAUGAAGAAGGCCUUAGGGUUGUAAAGUACUUUUGUUAGGGAAGAAAAGCUAGUUUUUAAUAAAAAUUAGUGAUGACGGUACCUAAAGAAUAAGCACCGGCUAACUACGUGCCAGCAGCCGCGGUAAUACGUAGGGUGCAAGCGUUAAUCGGAAUUAUUGGGCGUAAAGCGAGUGCAGACGGUUACUUAAGCCAGAUGUGAAAUCCCCAAGCUUAACUUGGGACGUGCAUUUGGAACUGGGUGACUAGAGUGUGUCAGAGGGAGGUAGAAUUCCACAUGUAGCGGUGGAAUGCGUAGAGAUGUGGAGGAAUACCGAUGGCGAAGGCAGCCUCCUGGGAUAACACUGACGUUGAGGCUCGAAAGCGUGGGGAGCAAACAGGAUUAGAU
This 775-nucleotide ribosomal RNA is filed under the name uncultured Neisseriales bacterium. RNAcentral describes it as "bacterial SSU rRNA". It matches the Rfam family "Bacterial small subunit ribosomal RNA", at positions 22 to 783 of the family's 1533-position model. The record is from RNAcentral. Lineage: Bacteria; Pseudomonadati; Pseudomonadota; Betaproteobacteria; Neisseriales.